CAGGCAGUGUUUGAAUUCUUGGGCUUAACU
This 30-nucleotide non-coding RNA is filed under the name Mus musculus (house mouse). The record is from RNAcentral. Lineage: Eukaryota; Metazoa; Chordata; Mammalia; Rodentia; Muridae.